CCAGCAUUCUUCCAUUUGAGACGCAUUACCUCCAGCCCAAGCUCAAGAUUUCAUUUGUGUGUUUCUAUUGUUGUUGUUGUAGUUGCUGGGGCUUUUUUGUUUGGUUUGUAUCUGUUGUGAAAAGAGUUCCAUGGUAUUUAUUGAACUUGCCACUUAGCUGAGGAUGACCUUGGACGCACGAGGUCUUCUUAUGUCUACCUCCUAAGUGCUGUGAUGACAAAUGUGUCACUACCAAACCCAGCCCUGUUGACUAUUUAAAAGUAUAGAAUUCAGGGACUGGGAAAGCGGCUCAGUGGGUAAGGGCCUGAGUUCUGUCUCCAGCACCUGUGUAGAUGGUGAACAGGCAGGGUGGCCUACCUGGAAUCCCAUGUGCUCCGGAGGUGGCAACAGGGGACCCCAGAGUAAGCUGGCUCCUGGCAGAGAACCAAUGAAGAAGACAUCCAAUAUUGACUUCUUGCACACAUCAAAAGCAACUUAAGGGAGAAAGGGUUUAUCCCAGUUCACAGUUCAAGGCCCAGCGUCUCCACUGAACCAUGUGAACCUGUGUCACCAUCCAAGAGUCUACUGGUUGAUGAAAGUGAUGAGUCAGGUCGGUCCCUUGACGGCUGCUGGGGAGGGUGUGGCAGAUCCCAGGGAAGACACAGUCUGUUGUGAAGAUUUUACUGAAACUGUGGUGCACUGUGUCUAAAUGAACCCUUAGAACUUUCGUUUUACAGAAAGACAGUCAAGUUGAUUUUCUCACCAGCAGGCCCUUUGUCAGUUCUGUGGCUUCACAAUUAAAAUCUGACAGAAGAGAAUUCAUUCUCUCACAGUGUGCCUUGGAUUCAUACUAAAGUCAGCAUUUGUCAUGAGCAUAUUGCUUGUGAAAAGGACAGUUUCCAAUCUUUUGUCCGUUUCUCUGUGACUGUGUCUACCUUUCAAACAAAAUUCAAUUGAAGCCUGGGCGGGGAAGAUGGCCCAACUGAGUAUCUGCUAUGCAAGUAUGAGGAUCUGAGUCCAUAGUCCCAGCAGCCAUGUUAAAAAGCCAGGAGAAGCAGCUCACGUGGAAGGGACAGGGAGAAGGAUCCCUGGAGCUCACUGCCCAGUCUAGCCAAAUCGACAAGCUCUAGGUUCAGUGAGAGACCCGACCUCAAAACAUAAGGUGGAGAGUGAUAGAGGAAGACCCCUGGACUUGAUCUCUGGCCUCCACACGCCCACAGCACACAGCACGCCCCUGUGUGCUCGUAUGCACACUGUCUCGUGAGACAAAUUGAAGCUGGAUAGAAGCUGGUAUUUCCUGUCAUUUCUGAGCAACAUACCAAUAAAAAUGUGUUUGUCCUCCACAAAUGAGAGAAUGGCUUUUUCCUCAGUUGGCAUCUCACUGUGCAUAAAGAAUGGUCCCAGGCUAGGGUCAGGAUCAGAGCCUCCGCUGAACCGUGUGAACCUGUGUCACUGCCCAAGAGUCUGCUGGAUGAUGAAGGUGAUGAGGCAGGUCAGUCCCUUGAAGGCUGCCGGGGAGGGUGUGGCAGAUCCCAGGGAGACACAGAAUGUUCGUUUGCUGUGUUCCCUAUUGAACUCAAAGACUGGGGGACCAGGGAAAGCAGGUCCAGAAUCUCAGAGAAGUCUGGAGGAGGCAAACAAGCCAUGCCUGGCAGGGUAUCGGGUGAGCGUGCCUCUUUGCUGCUCAGAAUGCGUGAGAUCCGACUUGCAGGAUUUCAUAAAUCACAACUGUUUUAGCUUCGAGAGGAGGGAUUGAUUAAGGUCUGAGCCAUCAGGCGUCGAAUGGAUCAGGCUGUCUCUCACCACCUCCCCUUCCCAGACGAGCAAGUCAGCAGUUUUCCGGGAAAGCAGUCUCUACACAUUUAGCAUCAUCACAACGAUUACUGUAAGG
Molecule: long non-coding RNA, 1870 nt
Filed under: Cricetulus griseus (Chinese hamster)
Lineage: Eukaryota; Metazoa; Chordata; Mammalia; Rodentia; Cricetidae
Description: lncRNA (ENSCGRG00015033065.1)
Source: RNAcentral